This 465-nucleotide ribosomal RNA is filed under the name uncultured Klebsiella sp. RNAcentral's name for it is "bacterial SSU rRNA". It matches the Rfam family "Bacterial small subunit ribosomal RNA", at positions 338 to 795 of the family's 1533-position model. The record is from RNAcentral. Lineage: Bacteria; Pseudomonadati; Pseudomonadota; Gammaproteobacteria; Enterobacterales; Enterobacteriaceae.
CCUACGGGUGGCUGCAGUGGGGAAUAUUGCACAAUGGGCGCAAGCCUGAUGCAGCCAUGCCGCGUGUGUGAAGAAGGCCUUCGGGUUGUAAAGCACUUUCAGCGGGGAGGAAGGCGUUAAGGUUAAUAACCUUGGCGAUUGACGUUACCCGCAGAAGAAGCACCGGCUAACUCCGUGCCAGCAGCCGCGGUAAUACGGAGGGUGCAAGCGUUAAUCGGAAUUACUGGGCGUAAAGCGCACGCAGGCGGUCUGUCAAGUCGGAUGUGAAAUCCCCGGGCUCAACCUGGGAACUGCAUUCGAAACUGGCAGGCUAGAUUCUUGUAGAGGGGGGUAGAAUUCCAGGUGUGGCGGUGAAAUGCGUAGAGAUCUGGAGGAAUACCGGUGGCGAAGGCGGCCCCCUGGACAAAGACUGACGCUCAGGUGCGAAAGCGUGGGGAGCAAACAGGAUUAGAUACCCUAGUAGUC